UGGGGAAUAUUGGACAAUGGGCGAAAGCCUGAUCCAGCCAUGCCGCGUGUGUGAAGAAGGCCUUCGGGUUGUAAAGCACUUUUGUUGGGAAAGAAAUCCUGUCGGCCAAUACCCGGCGGGGAUGACGGUACCCAAAGAAUAAGCACCGGCUAACUUCGUGCCAGCAGCCGCGGUAAUACGAAGGGUGCAAGCGUUACUCGGAAUUACUGGGCGUAAAGCGUGCGUAGGCGGUUCGUUAAGUCUGUCGUGAAAGCCCUGGGCUCAACCUGGGAAUUGCGAUGGAUACUGGCGAGCUAGAGUACGGUAGAGNAUGGUGGAAUUCCCGGUGUAGCGGUGAAAUGCGUAGAGAUCGGGAGGAACACCCGUGGCGAAGGCGGCCAUCUGGACCAGUACUGACGCUGAGGCACGAAAGCGUGGGGAGCAAACA
RNAcentral lists this ribosomal RNA (427 nucleotides) under uncultured bacterium. RNAcentral's name for it is "bacterial SSU rRNA". It matches the Rfam family "Bacterial small subunit ribosomal RNA", at positions 355 to 774 of the family's 1533-position model. The record is from RNAcentral.